This 29-nucleotide transfer RNA is filed under the name Tragopogon dubius. RNAcentral's name for it is "partial tRNA-Leu". Lineage: Eukaryota; Viridiplantae; Streptophyta; Magnoliopsida; Asterales; Asteraceae. RNAcentral also lists the same sequence under 5 other names. The record is from RNAcentral.
AAAAUCCGUCGAUUUCAAAAAUCGUGAGG